UGGGGAAUCUUGGACAAUGGGGGAAACCCUGAUCCAGCCAUGCCGCGUGAGUGAUGAAGGCCUUAGGGUUGUAAAACUCUUUCGACGGGGACGAUAAUGACGGUACCCGCAGAAGAAGCUCCGGCUAACUUCGUGCCAGCAGCCGCGGUAAUACGAAGGGGGCUAGCGUUGUUCGGAAUUACUGGGCGUAAAGCGUGCGCAGGCGGUUUCUCAAGUCAGGGGUGAAAGCCCAGAGCUCAACUCUGGAACUGCCUUUGAAACUGUGAAACUCGAGUGCGGGAGAGGUGAGUGGAAUUCCCAGUGUAGAGGUGAAAUUCGUAGAUAUUGGGAAGAACACCGGUGGCGAAGGCGGCUCACUGGCCCGUUUCUGACGCUCAUGCACGACAGCGUGGGGAUCAAACAGGAUUAGAUACCCGUGUAGUCC
Molecule: ribosomal RNA, 424 nt
Filed under: uncultured bacterium
Lineage: Bacteria
Description: bacterial SSU rRNA
Rfam family: Bacterial small subunit ribosomal RNA
Source: RNAcentral